AGGGAAGGAUAAGAAUCAAUAAGUACUGCUAAUCCUUAUACCCCGCGGUUAAAAUCCGCGGCUUCCUUA
This 69-nucleotide transfer RNA is filed under the name Candidia barbata (Lake Candidus dace). RNAcentral's name for it is "tRNA-Ser". The record is from RNAcentral. Lineage: Eukaryota; Metazoa; Chordata; Actinopteri; Cypriniformes; Xenocyprididae.